RNAcentral lists this long non-coding RNA (293 nucleotides) under Zonotrichia albicollis (white-throated sparrow). RNAcentral's name for it is "lncRNA (ENSZALG00000012555.1)". The record is from RNAcentral. Lineage: Eukaryota; Metazoa; Chordata; Aves; Passeriformes; Passerellidae.
UGGGAAGCCUGACUAGCUACUUGUUUGGAAGAAUAACCUAAAGAAAAUUCAUUGAUAUUUGGUUUACUUUAAUUUUAAGUAGUAGUUAAAAUGUAAUGGGGUGUAUAAGGUGAGAUUUGGGAAUUUCUCAUGUAAUGAAAGCCAAGAGGUACAUUUAAAAAGAUGAUAAUUUGGAGAGCUUCCUAGAUUGAUCUCUACUCAUUCAGCUUGGGGAAAAAAUGACAGCUGAAAUGUUGGCUAACAACUGCUGGAAGGAGGGAUUCUGCUCCUCACCCCUGGCCAUGGAAUUUUAC